Molecule: long non-coding RNA, 634 nt
Filed under: Callithrix jacchus (white-tufted-ear marmoset)
Lineage: Eukaryota; Metazoa; Chordata; Mammalia; Primates; Cebidae
Description: lncRNA (ENSCJAG00000075494.1)
Source: RNAcentral
GUGAUUUAAUGACAUGCUUCUAAUGAAAAGGAGAAAUUAGUAACUUUUCCUUGAAGAAACCUCAUAGAUACUAUCUUAAUCAAGUGAUCAAGGUUAAGUGCGCCAAUAGUAAGACAUACUGAUAAAAUAUCCCUGAAAUGUUGCAAAGGGCAUAUCACCUCUGUGGUGUUCCUUCCAAAAAUCUAUAACUGAAUCUACUCCUGAGAAAACAUCAGACAAACCCAAAUUGAUAGACAUUGUACAAAAUGUUUGACCAGCUGUUUUGAAAUAUGUCAGGGUCAUGAAACACAAGGAAAGAUGGAGGAACUGUCACAGACCAGGGGAGAUGACAACUAAGUGCAAUAUGGUGUCCUGGAUGGAAUCCUGGAACAGGAAAGAGACAACUUUGGAAAGAUCAGAGAAAUCCCAACAGAACUAUAGGAAUCUGAACUGUGCAAAAGAAUUAUCACUCACUGCAAGUCCCAGAGUGAACACUUUCUAUGAGAUACUCCAACAGCACAAUGUGUCAUGGAGCCAGGGGGACUGGGUUCGAAUCCCAGUUCUGCAGCAUAGCAGUUAUCUUUGGAUGCAUCACGUAACCUGUCUGACCUCCUGUUUCCUUUGGGAGAAUAAUAUCCACCUCACACAGUUGUGA